Molecule: ribosomal RNA, 253 nt
Filed under: uncultured bacterium
Lineage: Bacteria
Description: partial 16S ribosomal RNA
Rfam family: Bacterial small subunit ribosomal RNA
Source: RNAcentral
UACAGAGGGUGCAAGCGUUGUUCGGAAUUAUUGGGCGUAAAGCGCGUGUAGGCGGCUUUGCAAGUCGGGUGUGAAAUCCCUCAGCUCAACUGAGGAAGUGCGCCCGAAACUGCAGAGCUUGAGUACCGGAGAGGAUGGCGGAAUUCCCCAAGUAGAGGUGAAAUUCGUAGAUAUGGGGAGGAACACCGGUGGCGAAGGCGGCCAUCUGGACGGAUACUGACGCUGGGACGCGAAAGCGUGGGUAGCAAACAGG